This 465-nucleotide ribosomal RNA is filed under the name uncultured bacterium. Its description in RNAcentral is "partial 16S ribosomal RNA". It matches the Rfam family "Bacterial small subunit ribosomal RNA", at positions 28 to 507 of the family's 1533-position model. The record is from RNAcentral.
GACGAACGCUGGCGGCGUGCUUAACACAUGCAAGUCGAACGGAAAGGCCCCUUUGGGGGUACUCGAGUGGCGAACGGGUGCGUAACACGGGAGUAACCUGCCCUUGCCUUCGGGAUAACUUCAGGAAACUGGGGCUAAUACCGGAUAGGAAUCCUUGCUGCAUGGUGGGGGUUGGAAAGCUUUGGCGGUUUUGGAUGGACUCGCGGCGUAUCAGCUUGUUGGUGGGGUAGUGGCUUACCAAGGCUUUGACGGGUAGCCGGCCUGAGAGGGCGACCGGCCACAUUGGGACUGAGGUGCGGCCCAGACGCCUACGGGAGGCAGCAGUGGGGAAUAUUGCACAAUGGGCGGAAGCCGGAUGCAGCAACGCCGCGUGCGGGAUGACGGCCUUCGGGUUGUAAACCGCUUUCAGCAGGGGCGAAGCUUGUGGUGACGGUACCUGCAGAAGAAGCACCGGCUAACUACGUG